RNAcentral lists this transfer RNA (77 nucleotides) under Chloroflexota bacterium. RNAcentral describes it as "Chloroflexi bacterium (freshwater metagenome) tRNA-His". It matches the Rfam family "tRNA". From Rfam's summary of the family: Transfer RNA (tRNA) molecules are approximately 80 nucleotides in length. The record is from RNAcentral. Lineage: Bacteria; Bacillati; Chloroflexota.
GUGAGCGUAGCCCAGGGGACUAAGGCGUCAGGUUGUGGCCCUGAAGAUCGAGGGUUCGAAUCCCUCCGCUCACCCCA